GUUUAGAAUGUAAGAAUGGCUCAUUAAAAUUUAAACUGAAGAAAGUCACUAGUGGAUUCUUUGCAUGUGUCGAUUUUAGUGCUGAUGAACAAAUUCCACCAUGGCUUUAUCCUUUCAAACCAAAAGACCAAGUGGAUUUCUACAUUGUGGCUCUUAUUGAACCAAACUUAACAUCUGCUGGGACAAUUACACAUUCUGUUUUCAAAAUAACUGGAGAGACAGUCCAGCUGCCCUGUAAUUUGACCAUACCUACGAAACAGACAUACAAUGUGUUCUGGAUCAAGACCAAUACAGAAAGAAACUCCUCAUGUCUUCAUUCUUAUUCAUUGGGAUCCGAUCUUAUAGUACAACUUAUGACUUCCACUGUCUCAGUGAUGAAAACUUGCAUCACAGACUGUCAACUAUUACAUUUAAGACAUCUCAGUUUCAAUCUUUUCAUCAUCUUACAAUCAGAAAUGUGACGCCUGCUGACAGUGGACAGUAUGAGUGUGUCUUGCAGAAGGUUAAGUGGAAGGUGAUAACUAAGAUCACAGUGACUGUGGAUGUGAAGGACAUCAUACAAACAUCAGAUGGGAACUCUCUCCUUGUACUUAGGCAUGUGAUGAGUGCCCUGAUCCUCUUCUGCCUGUUCAUAACUGCCAUUGUCGUUUUUGUGAGGAAAACAGAAUGGUUGUC
Osmerus eperlanus (European smelt) is the source of this 675-nucleotide long non-coding RNA. RefSeq lists it as uncharacterized. The record is from RefSeq and is a predicted model, not a curated record. NCBI's taxonomy places the organism in Eukaryota, Metazoa, Chordata, Actinopteri, Osmeriformes, Osmeridae. The transcript is spliced from 3 exons.